Long non-coding RNA from Bombus terrestris (buff-tailed bumblebee), 5994 nucleotides. RefSeq lists it as uncharacterized. The transcript is spliced from 5 exons. The record is from RefSeq and is a predicted model, not a curated record. Lineage: Eukaryota; Metazoa; Arthropoda; Insecta; Hymenoptera; Apidae.
AAAACCUCGCCGUUACUCGAGGUUCGUGGUGUUUCGCGAUAAUCAGAGUGGCAAGAAUUUUUGGUUCGGAUUAAGGUGAUUUUUGCUUCGGAUACCAAGUUAUGGAAAUUCAUUACAGACAUAAUGUGUAUUCUAUUGGCAUUAGAGGGAGGAAAUGGACUACAGCGUUGCACAAACGUUAAGAAACACUCUGUGUACGUUGUAAUUAAGCGGCGAGCAAUUACUUCUUGUCCCUUGAAUAUGACGAAACGGAUAGUGGCGCAAGUAAACGGUAACGAAUGGCAGUAAUUGCGACCAAACGCGACUCAUGUAAUGAAACGAGAGUGGAAUCGCGUAAAAUUACGAUUAAAUGGUUAUAAGACUGGUUUAUGUGACCGAUACCGUGGACCUGUCCGUUCCCUUUCGCGGCAAUUGAUUGCGAACGCUGUCGGCCGAUCGGUAUCGUUUUUAUUUAUGAAUCAGGAGCCCGUUACCAGGGCGCAAUGUAAUGAAGCAAUUGCCGCGUUCGAUUUGCAAUUUGUUCCCAUUGCGAUUUUAAUCGAGAUCAAGUACAAUCUGAACCCGUUCACGCGGAUACGAGAAGCGUUACUGACAUCUCGAAUAUACUCGAUUGCGCAAAAGAAGCGAAACGAGAUGAUAACGAAAUCAUCUGCUUUUAUGUCGGCCUCGAGAAUCGAAAAAUGAAAAGUUUUUCAGAAAGAAUUAAUUUAAAAUCGUAGAUAGAAUACUCCAGAAACCGAUUAUCGAUGAUUUAAUUUUAUCCAUUCUGUAUAAUCUGCAGAUUACUAUCAUGUGUUAUUGAUAUCUAAUCUUUUGAGUGACAAACUUUGAAGGUGGAUAAAUUAACAAACCACACGUCAGUGUCUUCUCCUCCAUUUCGUUGAAAUUAUAAGAAUAAGAAUUAAAGGUAGAUAAAACUCGUCUAAUGGACGCAUUGUAUUUAACCUGGCUCCUAAUGUCAGCCGCCAGAGAUACGGUAAGUGACAGAAUACAAACACGCUCGCACGAGCAUCUAGAUAACGCCAUUUUCAGAGGAAACCUGGCCAUUUGGAAGGAAGACACGGUCAAUGUUAGCACACGUCACGUCCUCUGUCGCAUUGCCGCCAGUUCCGCUCGUAUCAUGAACUGUCACGCCGGCUCUCCCGGUUAUAAACACUUGGUGCGUAACUGCACACUUUAAAGCUGCAAUAUUCGAGGGAGGUAACAAGCGACUGAAUAAACAUCGACCACCUUGCUUCGCGUGCCAUCCUUGUUUCAAUUCUACUCCGGUAGUUUACCGCUAUUCAACAUCUUAAUUUAAUCCAGAACCGCGACAUGUAACACGUGUCAUGGGAAGUUCACGGCUGCAAAUGUUUGCUUACAUCGAGAAUAAUGGAACAAUUUAAAUUGGUAAUAUGUUUCAAGAUCAUCGUUUACGAUAAAACAAAAUGAUGAUCGAUGAAAAUAAAAUUGAUAGAAAUUGAUAAUCGUGAUAGAAAUACAACGACAAAAUAUAGUCAUACAAAUUUACACUGUCUGCAACUUAAUCGUCAAGCGUAAGAGAAUCGAUAGUUUCUGUAUAGCACGAAGAUCGAAUCGUACUUCGCAACACGGAAGUUAGUAUUCAAGGUCACAGGGGCUGGGUAACUUCAAUGGUCGAGGUAGAGGAACGCGUGACUCGAUCCACGGGGCUCGAGAACGUAAUCCCAUAGCAAUGUUUGCCGUCCGUGACGCGAUACCGAUCGCGUCGUGCAGCCCGAUGGAACGAGAAGGGAAAAGCGGAUCGCGCGAUGUUCGACUGUUUAUCGUUGUUAUUGUUUUUCGACCCUAUCUCAGCCCAGCCACCCCCAUCCCGGCGGAAUCCGAUUUGUAAUGGAAAUGCAAUGUUCAAUGCUGCUUUAAUCCUUCGUCCGCCGUAGGAGCCUUUUGUAACGCGCUGCUUCCAGGGAAAAAACGGAGGAGACGGACGGCUUUAGAGAUCCGUCAUAAUCGUUCUAGGACGAUAUUUAUUUUUCGUACAAACGUCGCUGCUUGAGAGAGAGAAAGAGAGAGAGAGAGAGAGAGUCAACGAGAUUUUUUGCGAAAGAUUACAUCUGAGUAUUCGAUAGCGCACACGGAGCGCCAACGACAAACUAUAUAAAUGGUCACGUUUCCAAAAGCAUUAUCUCGUUCGUCGCUCGUGAACUCGCUCUCGCGGAUGCAAAACUAACCCCCGUAGAAAAAACGACCAGAACAGUUUUCCACUUAACAAACGAAAACUUCCAACCAACCUGAAAAUGUGCAAAAACGGGAAAACCACAAACGCGAAUCUCCUCUCUACGCUCGUAUCUUUUACUUUUUGCUAAUAAUUAAAAGAACGUAAGUAUCGCCAGAGGGGUUGUUAAGCAAUGGUUAGGAGUUCCUUCGCGAAGUAAGGGAAGUUCGGGCGAAAUAGCGACUCGGAGUCAGAGUGGAGAGAGGCGGCGAGCGGAAGGGUGACAAAUCAAUGGCGGAUGGUAGGGUAGGUAGCGGCAUAUGAGCGCUGGGCUCCUAUCUUAUCAACGCAUUAUUCAACGGCGGAGGCUGCUCGGGACUCUAACUGCCUGCAUUUGCAUAAAUCCAUAGAUCUCCCGGACCUGCUCGGCUGCCCGGCCGUGUCUAUCCAUCUCUGGAUGCAUGCAUACAGCAAAUUACAGUGCCCGCAAGCGGAAUUGUGGGUGGCGGACCCGUGUCCUUCCCCCUCUGCCUGCCCCCCUUUCACGAAAGGACCCCGAAGGGAGCCAACACGCUUGCCGGCUAGGUAAGGCCAAUGGAAGGGGCUCGGUAACAUUCACUUUGCCAGUGGCUUUGUAUUGGAUCGUUAACGACACCCCUUCCUGUGUACCUUCUGUUAUCACCCUACGCUAUCUCUCGUAUUGUGCAACCUUCCUUUUCUAUGAGUGUACUAGGACUGGAAAAAAUUUCGUGCACAUUUCCAGGAUUCUGGGAGAUGGAUAAUCAGCCACGCGUUUAUUGGUUGAUGACUGAGUCGAAGAAUGGUAAGAAAUACCGCGUAGGAUCGUUUUAUAGUUAUGCACUAUCGAUCGAAAAUUCCGUUACGUUAAGAAACUGUUCAGGGAAAAAUCGAACGAGGUAAAGACUGUUGCUGCAAGAAUUAAACGAUAAUAGUGAAACGAUGUUGAAGAUCGGCCAUACGUUUUUUCUAUUUUGCUCGAAUGAUAGUUUUGAGAUUAUUUGUCGGAAUCUAUGCAAACUUCAUCUAUGGAAUCGAUGCAAACUUUAUCCUAUUGGCAAAUCAAUUUCAUGCCGAUAUAAGAAACUUCGCAAAAAUCCAGUAACCCAUAACAAAGAGUACCCGCUGAACCAUUCACGCACUGAAAUUGGUCGGUUACAUUCGUUGAAAAUUUCUCCACGAAAGUGGUCCGCGCGUUCAAACACGCGCGGGAGAUCCUCGUUUAUCGAAUCCAUUUGCGAGAUCACGCGAACGACGUAUCCGCGGUAAGACGAGUCUAACGGAUCGCUAAUCAGCAAGUGAAACAAAAGGAUUUCCACGGCACAGAGGUGGCGGGUUUCCACGCGGAUCUAAGGUCUCCCUCUCUCCCUCUCUCUCUAUUCGUCUCUGAGAGGAUUGCCGGGCCACUCAGCUACGGAAUGGUUCGUUAGCAAAAGGAGACGAAACUGUAAGUCCCGGUGCAAAUACCGUCGAUUACGUGCUCGCCUGUACGAUUCGGUCUUCGUUGAAUUUCUCCGCGAACGGUAUCACGGCAACACGGUAAUAUUUGCAAAGCUUUGUUAUCCGACCGACUCACAAAACCGGCGAUCGUAUGCAUUGCGAUUCGAAAAUUUAUUCGUUCGAUGAAUAAUUUAACUCCGGUUAUCCCUAUAUCCUGUAUGAAUUAUCGCGUCCUCGCUCUGUCAUACGCGAAUACCGUCGAAAUUUCGUUUGGAAAACAACGCGAAGAAAAACGUUGUUGCCAGGCAUAACUCACGUGGAUAACGUUCUCGAUAAUGCCUUAGCAAUCGAAAAUUCAGAUUACCUUUUUCAUCGAGAAUUCGAAGCGUUCAAUUUCGUAAAACGAGGCCAGCUUUCAACGAACUUUUUAAUAAAUCGACUGACCCAAUUUCUCUUGUGACCCGUGUACGCAGGAAACGGAACAAUAAGCAGUAUCAUAGAACCGAUCGCGUUGAAAUCGCGCGGUAAAACCCACGGUACGGAACGAGACGGAAUUUUUGACAAGGCUUUUUCGCCCGACCGAUAAAAUAUAUUCAUUUUCCUAUUGAAUUCGCAGAUAAUUGGUGCGAGUCUGAGAGUGUCUGAUACCGAUCCCCGAGUUCUCACGAGUCGGGUGCAACGGACGCGUAAUAAAUUCCAGGUUUACCUAUUCUGCUUGCGACAGGAAUUAUUCGGCGAGCUCGUAGGUGCACGAUCGAUUUAACCGGGCGAGGAUGAAAUACGAGAGACGCGCCAAUUCGUUGCACCGAUUCAGUCGUUCCUGUACCAUUACCUGUCGAUCCUCUGCCGAUUGUUUCAUCGACUUUUUUCCUGCCCCCGAUUAAAAAUUUCGAAAAAUAUUCCGCUAACGACUACGCAAACUCUAUUAAUUCUUCUAGAUCGAAAGACUUUUUAUACAGCAGGAGAGAAUCUAUUGCAAGGACAUUUUGAAAAAUUUGCAUUUCUUUAUGAUGUAAAGAUAUGUAAUACGAUGUACUAAAUAUUUAGCGACAUUUACAAAAUCUAUGACUAAAUCAUGGCAAUCCACUGAACCGAUCUUAUGAACUUGGAUUUAGAAAACAUUACGCUUUACCAUUUUCUGCCACAAUCAGCAACGAGUUUCAUCCGUAAGUCCACUUAUAAUCUAAAAGCAAGACUCCGGUGGUACUCGUACAUCGAUACAAUAGCCUGAACGAGUUUAUUCCGGAGGAGCCAGCUGCUCACCCUUAAAAACACCGUUGUCCUCUUGAGCGGUGCAUCACGGACGCGUUAUCUGCCGGCUGCUCGAACAACGAUAGGGCAGUACGAGGGUGGAGAGUGCGAAGUUAAGUCGAGCCCUUGCUCGAAUGUCUCUGACGGCAGCGAGACGAGUAGUUAAUUAACACCUCCCGUUACCCUUACCCUUCUUCAUCCCUUGCAUCCGGUAGAGGCUAGCUUUUCCGCAGAACAGCCGCGGUGGCAGCCGCCUUUUUCACAGUGGAAGAACGGUCUCCUUCGCAGAAUUCGCCCGCGUGGCUGGCUUUUUCAAAGCUGCCGUUACCCCGGCGAGAAGUUGGAAAAGGAUCUCCUUCCUUCGUAAUUUUUUCCGUCCUCCUCCCGUCGACCACGAAGACCGAUAGCGACCGAGAAGGAUCUAGAGGAGGAGGAUCCACCGUUUUGGAACUGGCGCAAAAGAGUCCGACGACGGGGUUUGAUCGUUCAAGUGGUUGGUUCUUACACUGUCAGCGUUCUCUUCUUCUCCGAACUGUCGAUGGAGCAAUUUUCUGCGAUUGUGGCAAAGUGGUGGAAUUGCGAGCAGAUCGUGCGAUGUCGAGCGGGUGGUGUUCUCGCGAGGACUAGAAAGUUAUCAAAGAGGGACAUAAACGACGUUACGGCGAACACAGAGCAUGCGCUCGGUAAUAUCUCAGUUGGAUACAGCGAAAUUUUCGUCGUUGUUGACCAUUACGCCGAAGGAUCCAGCAUCGCGAAUGCCUCGAGGUACGUCAGGUUAUGUGAUACCGGUAAUAAUUCUAUGAAUUACGAGCUUAACCCGGUCUGACCUCUCAUUUUCAUCAAGCCUCCACUCGCAGGGAGCUGUGUCAUCUCGACAGGGCUUGUAAUGCAAAGGUAAUGAUAGCGAUUUGGAAACGGACGUUCAGAUAUAUACAUCCAGUUUGUUUUGUGAAUUUUGUGGUCAGUGUUACUAGUGUUUCAAACAACAUUAAUACUCAUAAAGCGUUACGAAGUUUUCAAUUUCCCUGUAGUUCUUCUCAUAACGAGAUAUAAAUAGAAAAUUCGCUAAAACAAUUUACUGCGAUAUUAUAAACUCGAAGAUUGAACAUUAA